This 73-nucleotide transfer RNA is filed under the name Ailuropoda melanoleuca (giant panda). It matches the Rfam family "tRNA". Rfam says of the family: Transfer RNA (tRNA) molecules are approximately 80 nucleotides in length. Their secondary structure includes four short double-helical elements and three loops (D, anti-codon, and T loops). The record is from Rfam by way of RNAcentral. Lineage: Eukaryota; Metazoa; Chordata; Mammalia; Carnivora; Ursidae.
ACCUGGUUGGCUCAGUCAGUGGAGCAUGGGGCUCUUGAUCUCGGGGUUGUGAGUUCGAGCCCCAUAUUGGGCA